RNAcentral lists this microRNA precursor (126 nucleotides) under Myotis brandtii (Brandt's bat). RNAcentral describes it as "mir-9193 microRNA precursor family". It matches the Rfam family "mir-9193 microRNA precursor family". The record is from Rfam by way of RNAcentral. Lineage: Eukaryota; Metazoa; Chordata; Mammalia; Chiroptera; Vespertilionidae.
CAUGCACCAGUGGGGUCCCUCGGCCUGGCCUGCGCCCUCUUGCAAUCCAGGACCCCUCAGAGGAUGUUGGAGAGCCAGUUUUAGCCCGAUCCCACAGGCCAGGCCGAGGGACCCCACUGGUGCAUG